This 603-nucleotide long non-coding RNA is filed under the name Fukomys damarensis (Damara mole-rat). Its description in RNAcentral is "lncRNA (ENSFDAG00000026142.1)". Lineage: Eukaryota; Metazoa; Chordata; Mammalia; Rodentia; Bathyergidae. The record is from RNAcentral.
AACGGCAGCUGCGGGUAGCAGGAUUGAGGCCCAGGACCUGGGGCUGAGUGGGAAGUGGACUCAGCUCGUCUGUGCUCAGUUCUCCAAGAGCCACACCCACGGCCCCGAGGCUAGGAGUCUUGGUACCCAGGUAGCUGCAGGGGUCGAGCUCUGAAAACAGGCUAGUCCGGGCGCCUCAGCAGGCUGGGCGGCUUCUCCCUGUGAUUCACCGCCUCGGAGCGGGAGGAGGCUGUGGGCGAAGAUUGACAAAAGCAGGGUACGGGAGGUUGUAUUCUUGGUCUGAGGAAGGGCUUCUGGUAAGUGUCCAAACUGUACCACUUUUUUCCCCCCAGGGAUGGAACUCUGGUCCUUGCACUUGGGAGGCAGGUGAUAGCACCACUGAGCUAAAUCCCCAGCCCAAACUGUACCACUCUAAGCUUCCCACUCUGGGGUCCUGUGCAGCCUGUGCUUUCAGUGAGGACAGGGAUGAGUUCUGAGCCAGCCUGUUCUGUCAGUGGCAGUGGGGACCUUGGCUGCCAGUGGUUUCGAGAACAUGUGACUUCCCAUGGUGCUCUGGUGAGACCAAGUGCAUGGCUUGGUUUAGUUCCAAUGAGAAACAUCUCC